RNAcentral lists this ribosomal RNA (253 nucleotides) under uncultured bacterium. Its description in RNAcentral is "partial 16S ribosomal RNA". It matches the Rfam family "Bacterial small subunit ribosomal RNA", at positions 524 to 776 of the family's 1533-position model. The record is from RNAcentral.
UACGUAGGGUGCAGGCGUUAAUCGGAAUUACUGGGCGUAAAGCGUGCGCAGGCGGUUUGCUAAGACAGGUGUGAAAUCCCCGGGCUUAACCUGGGAACUGCGCUUGUAACUGGCAAGCUUGAGUGUGGCAGAGGGGGGUGGAAUUCCACGUGUAGCAGUGAAAUGCGUAGAGAUCGAGAGGAACACCAGUGGCGAAGGCGAGUUCCUGGACAAGUCCUGACGCUGAGGCACGAAAGCCAGGGGAGCAAACAGG